AUACGGAGGACGCGAGCGUUAUCCGGAUUCAUUGGGUUUAAAGGGUGCGCAGGCGGCCGUGCAAGUCAGCGGUGAAAGCCCGGGGCUCAACCCCGGAAGUGCCGUUGAUACUGCAUGGCUGGAAUGCGGUCGAGGCGGGCGGAACGGGGCGUGUAGCGGGGAAAUGCGUAGAUAUGCCACAGAACGCCGAUAGCGGAGGCAGCUCGCCAGGCCUGCAUUGACGCUCGGGCACGAAAGCGUGGGGAGCGAACAGGAUUAGAUACCCUGGUAGUCCACGCCGUAAACGAUGGGCGCUCGUCGUCGGCGGCAGACAGUCGGCGGCCAAGCGAAAGCGAUAAGCGCCCCACCUGGGGAGUACGGUCGCAAGGCUGAAACUCAAAUGAAUUGACGGGG
Molecule: ribosomal RNA, 393 nt
Filed under: uncultured bacterium
Lineage: Bacteria
Description: partial 16S ribosomal RNA
Rfam family: Bacterial small subunit ribosomal RNA
Source: RNAcentral